RNAcentral lists this ribosomal RNA (444 nucleotides) under uncultured bacterium. RNAcentral's name for it is "partial 16S ribosomal RNA". It matches the Rfam family "Bacterial small subunit ribosomal RNA", at positions 338 to 795 of the family's 1533-position model. The record is from RNAcentral.
CCUACGGGUGGCAGCAGUGGGGAAUAUUGGGCAAUGGAGGAAACUCUGACCCCGCAAUGCCGCGUGAAUGAAGAAGGUCUUCGGAUUGUAAAGUUCUUUAGUCAGGGAAGAAGUCAAUGCGGGUACCUGAAGAAUAAGCUCCGGCUAACUACGUGCCAGCAGCCGCGGUAAUACGUAGGGAGCAAGCGUUGCUCGGGAUGACUGGGCGUAACGGGUGUGUAGGCGGUUGUACAAGUUAGAAGUGAAAUACCCAGGGCUUAACUCGGGUGCUGCUUCUAAAACUGUAUGACUUGAGUGCAGUAGAGGUUAGUGGAAUGCCUAGUGUAGCGGUGGAAUGCGUAGAUAUUAGGAGGAACACCAGAGGCGAAGGCGGCUAACUGGACUGCAACUGACGCUGAGGCACGAAAGUGUGGGGAGCAAACAGGAUUAGAUACCCCUGUAGUC